CCACGGCGGUUGUAGUGUUCUCAUUCUCGUUGCGGCUUUGCUCAUUCUCAUUUCCCAGGUCCCAGCCUUGCUUGCAAUUUCAGACUCUCCCUCAUUUCACCUCUCUCUCUCUCUCUCUCUCUCUCACGCAAAUUGUAGCAAGCCUCAGUCCUACCUACUCUCUAAUCUCACAGCGACGCAAAAGCAGGCAAUCCAAAUCUAGUGAAUGCAUGAUAUACUAGGGAAUAGCUUAAGAAGAGUUUGAGGGAUAAAACAACAAAGACAGAUGUGGGUGCAGCGUGCUAAACCAUUUAGGCAGAUAAGGGCCUUGAGUCAGUCUUUUAAGUCUCCAUGGAUUUUUUCGAUAUCGUCUUCCUACUCAGAUACUCCUCACAAGAAGUCGAAGCUUGCCCCUCUACAGGAAAGGAAAAUGAUAGACAGGUUUAGGCUAUAUGCUAAAGGGGGCGGUGGUGGCAGUGGUUGCUCCAGCUCUCGCCGUAGUCGCCAUGACCGCCAUGGCAUACCUGAUGGUGGGAAUGGUGGAAGAGGUGGUGAUGUGAUUUUGGAAUGUUCUCCAACAGUUUGGGACUUCAGUGGUUUGCAACCUCACCUUAUAGCACAGAGAGGGGGACAUGGAUCCUCGAAGAAUAAAAUUGGCACCCGAGGAGCGGAUAAGGUUUCCCAAGUGCCCAUUGGUACAGUGAUUCAUCUUAUGAAGGGUGAAAUUCCUUUUGUUGCUGAUAGCCAUGUUUCUAAAGAUUUGGAUCCAUGGGAGCUUCCAGGUACUCCUAUUGAUGAUGUAACUCGCUCUGACCAGCAAUCUGCCCCUAGUGGUCCAAAUAUGGCAGUGGAUACUGGGGGUAGCUCAUCAUCUCGACCUGAAAGAAUUGUUGAGGAAUCAGUUCUCAUGAAGGAAAUCUCCCAAGUUGAAUCCACUGAGGUUCCUACUCAAUCUCCACCUUCUUUGUCUGAGAUUUGCACAGAAGACGAGACAGAGGAAGAAGAACAAAUUCAAUACAACGUUGCUGAGUUAACAGUAAGAGGUCAACGACUAGUUAUUGCUCGUGGAGCGGAAGGUGGUCUAGGUAGCGUGUCUCUCAAAGUCCCAAGGAAGUUCAAAACUGAUUCGUUAGAUGCUCAAGUAUCUGAUGAUGAUCAGUUGACCCUCGGUGCUGGUUUGCCUGGUUCUGAAGCUGUUCUCAUAUUAGAGCUAAAGAGCAUUGCUGAUGUGAGCCUAGUGGGAAUGCCGAAUGCUGGUAAAAGUACUCUAUUAGGGGCUAUAUCUAGGGCUAAGCCUGCAGUGGGCCAUUACGCCUUCACCACUCUUAGACCCAAUUUGGGGAACCUAAACUUUGAUGACUUUUCACUCACAGUUGCUGAUGUUCCUGGACUCAUAAAGGGUGCCCAUGAGAAUCGUGGACUUGGACAUGCAUUCCUUCGCCAUAUAGAACGCACAAAGGUUAUAGCUUAUGUGGUGGACUUGGCUGCUGGAUUGGAUGGUCGAAAAGGAACCCCACCUUGGGAACAGCUUAGAGAUUUGGUCUUAGAGCUUGAGUACCAUCAAGUGGGUUUAUCUGAUCGACCAUCACUCAUAGUGGCAAAUAAAAUAGAUGAGGAAGGGACUGAAGGCGUGCAUGAAGAACUGAAAAGAAGGGUGCAAGAUGUUCCUAUAUUCCCUGUCUGUGCUAUUUUGGGGGAAGGAAUUCAAGAGCUAAAGAUUGGUCUUAGGAAACUUGUGAAUGGUGAAAUGACAGACAGACUCCAGGUCGAUAAAAUUAUGGUUGAUUAAAGGUUCAUUGUUUGAGACCUGAGAAAAAUGUACAAACAAGCAAUCCAGGCUCUAUCUGCUGCAUGCAGAAUGACCAAUAGAGCUAUUUUUCUGAGGAUUUCAUGAUACUAAAAAGGAUGGUUCAUUUUGUUCCACAACAAGAUUCUACCCUCCUCUGUCUUGAUGGUUAGUGUUGAGCCUACAUUUCUCAUUGUUGGAUAGGAGAGGUUAGCUUCACGCAAGUGAUGAUUCCAUAUUACAUAGCUUUGAUAUUUAAUAUUCCAAAAGAUAUUGGCAAGUUAGAAACUUAGAACAUUUUAGAGGAAAAAUAAUUAAGAAGAAAAUAAAAGCAAAUGGAGAACCUUUUGUUUUAAAAGAGAAAAGAAAGAAAAAAGAAAUGUAGACCACUGGUGAAGAGAUUUGAAGAGAAUAUUUUUUCACUUUUGGAGUCACAAUUAAAGCAGGCUCCACAAUCAGGGGAUAGAAGCUCUUCAAGACCCACCAUAUGAAAAUGGUACAUCAACAAAAAAGUCCUAAUUAUCAUAUUUAGCUUAAGGCCAAAGUCAAAAAGUUUCAUGUUUGGCUACUUGCACCCCUAUACAUGAGAGAGACUAUCUAAAAUACAUCAAACAAAGCAAGUGGGAUUCUUUUUUUUUUUUUUUUUUUUUUUUGAAGAUGGACAGAUUUUGCAUAUAUCUUUGGAUAUAUACAUGAACAAAUGGGUGUCAAGAAAACUUGUGUUACUUUCUUUGAUGUGGUCGACUGUCUUAGAUAUUAGAGUAUGAAUAUAAGAAAAGAUUUCAUAUUAACAAAUUAAGGGACCCAGGACAAGAACAAUUCAAAUAUUUCUUUAAUUUGAUGUGUACAUCUUUGUCUGAGAAAAAGCAUGUUUCAUGCCUGUAGAUGCUAUGCCAGCUUAAGACAGUUUAUAGUGGCCAAAGAAAAACACAGGAUGAUAAUAUGUUUACAUUUUGACAAUUGUUUAAUUUAUCUUCAAGAUGAGGGUUCAUGAUUAUAGAUAAAUGUGUAUGUGACGAGGAGUAUUAUACUAUUCAAAUGUUAUCACAUAUUUAUUUUAUUAACAAAAAAAUAGAUGCUAAACUAGAAAAAUUAGGAACUCAUGUCACCACAGUAAAGAAAUGAUGCACGCGGAGCUGAAGUGAUGUAUCAUAUACAUAAAGGCACAGCUUUCAUUUUUCUGGGGUUCUUCUGGUAAACAUAAGUUGAUCGAAACAUUUUGGUUUAGGAAAUUACCCACAGAAAAUGACCGCUUAUGUGUGUUUGAUUGAUCUACCAAGGACUCUUAUUUAUGUGUAGUUGUGGCCAUAUUUUAGUCUUAAUUAUGGCUCUAUCAAUGGAAUGUCUGAAUCGUCACUUCUUUUUUAAUUUGAUUUUCUGAAUACUGCUAGCUUAGUUGACUUAAGGAAUAAGGACCAGCUUCAUAGUUCAUUAUCCAUGUUUUUUUUUCUUCCAACAACUCUUUGACUCAUUAGUUGCACUGUACCAAUGGAUUGUCUACUUAAGUACUUAUAGCUAAGCUACCUUUAGUCAGUUUAGUGCAUAAACAUGUGCUCUUCUUCUCAAAGGGGAACUUUUUCUCAACAAAAGAUAAACCAUUGCCCAUUAAAAAGAAAAAAUUCCUCUCAAAUAAUAAGAUAUGAUUGGACUUGAGUGGUGCACAUGAAUGCUGAGAAAUAUGUUCGGAUAUCUACUUAUAUUAAACACUAAAUAGCGUUGCUUUUAGAGUUAAUAUUCAUAUUGAAAAGACAAUUAAUUGGAGAGUUUUAUUGGUAUAGACACCGGAAAUUCUAAAAAUA
Rosa rugosa (rugosa rose) is the source of this 3564-nucleotide RNA transcript. It is a transcript of the gene named probable GTP-binding protein OBGM, mitochondrial, with no coding region annotated. The transcript is spliced from 8 exons. The record is from RefSeq and is a predicted model, not a curated record. Lineage: Eukaryota; Viridiplantae; Streptophyta; Magnoliopsida; Rosales; Rosaceae.